UCAUCUCCCUCAUUUCCCUCCCAAAACCCUCAAUCCCUUCAUCUCUAUCUCCAUCUCUCUCUAUCUUCACCAGCCGCCCACUACAACCCACGCAAGUACUCCAUCGUCAGUCACCAUAGCCACACAAACUCCACCAUCGGCAACCAUAGGCACAUAAACUUCCGUCGCCAGCGACCAUAGUCUCAAUUUUUGGACGGCAUCUCUAGACGCUAUGAGCUUCAGACGGUAUCUCCAAAUGCGACGGACUUCAGACAGCGACCUCGACGGGCUUUGGACGGUGAACCACAACCUUCUGACGGCGGCCCACGAACUUUCGACGGCGACCCACUGAAGUUCGAUCGCGCCCACGGCCUUCUGACGGCGACCCACUGCAGUUCGAUCGUGCCCACGGCCUUUUGACGGCGACCCACGGUGACUCCGACCCACAUCUUCACCUUCAUCGCUGUUGAUCUAGUUGAUAAAUCCCAUGAAGAGUAUAAUAGAAGUGUUUCAAACCCAAACAGCUCUUUAUCAGGAUUAUUACCACUGAGGAGAGACCAUGCAAUAGCUGAAUGCUUUGAGCCUAAAUUGCAGGCCAAAAACCAAACUUCAGCCUAAUGGCUUGAGAUUGAACUCAAAAGGCACGUCUAUUUCUCAAGUAACAAACAACUUUUCACGUAGUUUGUAAAUUAUUUUGACGACUAUGAUAUUGAUUCAGAUGCUACUAUGGAGAAAAGUGGAUUGUUUGGUAGGAACUCUGGGAGAACUGAGAAUCAGAAGUAGAAUGGAACAUUAUCUAAUAAAAACUUAGAGAAAACUAAGAGCCAGAAUGAGAAUGAAAAAUCUGAAGAGGCUUCUGAUUUGCUUCUUAACACUGCUACUGAUCCAAUGUUACUCAUUGAAUUUGCAGGCUCUGAGUAUAAAUCUUCCUAAUGGAAUUUUGAUUAAACUUUGAGGACUAUGGAUAUUUACUGAUAUACUGAGAAUGUAAUUUGUUGACGGCAUAUUGGUGGACUCUGAAACUUCAUGAAAUUCAAGAUAUGCCAACAUGAAUCUUGAGCUUGGAAGUGGAAUUCUGAUUGUUGUUCCAAUUUCAAACGAGCAUUCAGCUUAUGGAAGCUUAAUUGAGAACGCAAUAUAAAUUGCAAUUAAAGAAGCACGGUAAGAAAUCCACAAGUCAAAUUUGAAAAUUUUCUAAACAUAUAAGGAGUAUAACGUUGCAAAUAUUUGAACCUUUAAUCGCUAAGCAAAGUUCUUAAUGCAUUAAUUGUUGAGCUAUGCCGAAACUCAUCCACCAGUAUAUACACAUUUUAGGGAGAAGAAUAUUGUGGAAAAGUUUUGAUUUAGAUUUAAUAAUGUGUUGAAACUUUUUUGUGUUUACUUUAAAAAUCUCCAAGCUUUCAUUCCUAGAUAAGGUAAAUCCAUUUUAUUUGAAGUUAUUAUUGCUCGAGUUUGUUUCUGAUUUAAUAAUGUGCUGAAACUUUGUUAUUCAUUUACUUAUAUUUCACGUCCAAGUGUCAUUCUAAACUCAUAGUUUUGGAGCUUUCUUAGGGUGGCAAGAGGGUUCUUGAGCAAACUUCUAGUGCUGCAUCACCUAACUCAUGCUAUAGAUGUGGUGAACAAGGGCAUUUUGCUCGGGAGUGUGCAGGUUCCACCAAGGUAGAUAAAAUAGCUUACAUAUUUGCUUGUUUUAUUAGGAAAAAAGAAAAUUUUCAUUUUGUUAUGAAUUUAUAUCUCUUUUUGAAAUGUUUUUUUUCUCUUGCUGUGAGAGGGAAAAGAAACCAUCUUGGAUGCACUUGGUGCUAUUUCAACUGCUUGCCACAAAUUAAUUUCUAUUGUAGAUCCUGCCAUGCCCAAUGCCAUUGUAAAUCUGGUAUCUUCCUCCUGCUCCAAGAAAGCAAAGAAAUUUCGAAGCAAUAGAUGCAAGGGGAUAGACUUUAGUUUUGGUAUACAACACAUGUUUUUGGUUAUAUAACAUAGCUAUUAUUGUUGAUUUUGGAAUAGGCCACACAUAGGAAAUUUUAGUUGGUUAUAUUUGGAUUGAAAUUCUGUAAUUGUUGAUGACAUUGUUGAGAAAAAUGAAAUUAUUGUUGGUUUA
Cucumis melo (muskmelon) is the source of this 2077-nucleotide long non-coding RNA. RefSeq lists it as uncharacterized. The transcript is spliced from 4 exons. The record is from RefSeq and is a predicted model, not a curated record. Lineage: Eukaryota; Viridiplantae; Streptophyta; Magnoliopsida; Cucurbitales; Cucurbitaceae.